GAUCUGGAGGAAUACCGGUGGCGAAGGCGGCCCCCUGGACAAAGACUGACGCUCAGGUGGGAAAGCGUGGGGAGCAAACAGGAUUAGAUACCCUGGUAGUCCACGCCGUAAACGAUGUGGACUUGGAGGUUGUGCCCUCGAGCGGUGGCUUCCGGAGCUAACGCGUUAAGUGGACCGCCUGGGGAGUACGGCCGCAAGGUUAAAACUCAAAUGAAUUGACGGGGGCCCGCACAAGCGGUGGAGCAUGUGGUUUAAUUCGAUGCAACGCGAAGAACCUUACCUACUCUUGACAUCCAGAGAACUUUCCAGAGAUGGAUUGGUGCCUUCGGGAACUCUGAGACAGGUGCUGCAUGGCUGUCGUCAGCUCGUGUUGUGAAAUGUUGGGUUAAGUCCCGCAACGAGCGCAACCCUUAUCCUUUGUUGCCAGCGGUCCGGCCGGGAACUCAAAGGAGACUGCCAGUGAUAAACUGGAGGAAGGUGGGGAUGAC
RNAcentral lists this ribosomal RNA (488 nucleotides) under Enterobacter sp. CC4.22. RNAcentral describes it as "bacterial SSU rRNA". It matches the Rfam family "Bacterial small subunit ribosomal RNA", at positions 695 to 1183 of the family's 1533-position model. Lineage: Bacteria; Pseudomonadati; Pseudomonadota; Gammaproteobacteria; Enterobacterales; Enterobacteriaceae. The record is from RNAcentral.